Molecule: long non-coding RNA, 5557 nt
Filed under: Homo sapiens (human)
Lineage: Eukaryota; Metazoa; Chordata; Mammalia; Primates; Hominidae
Description: HSALNT0277926
Source: RNAcentral
GGCUGGAGCCCCCUCUCCACCACCCCCUCCCCAGCCCUAAUGUGUGCCCAGAGCUUUGAGCAGCACCACCCUGUUGAGUGAGGGGAGGUUUUGAGACUCCAGUGGGGAAGGAAGUGUGGACUCCGCACAGCACAAGGGAAGGCUUAGGUGUGCCUCGAGUUCCCAGCUGUGUGCUGGGUCCAUGGCAUGCGUCCCCUCUUCCAACCUCCCAGCUUCCAGAAGGUGGGGGGCAGGUCAGCCCCUCAGAGGGACUGCGAUGUCUGCGACACCAAGGAAGGGAGAAGGGUGUCUAUAAACAGGCUCACUGCCCAGGGACCUCUCAAGGGGUUCUUUGUGGGCCAAGAAAACGGGAAACACAUACACACACAGCUUUCUGAUUAUUUAAGUCCAUCUAAGCAUAUUUUGGAGGAAUGAAUGUACAUUGAAAUAAUCUUCCUAAAUAGAUUCCUUUAAGGGGAGUUUGUUCCAGCUGGAGAAGUUGUGCUCUCUGUAGAGGCUCUGAACUCCUCUGGCUACGACGACGGGAAUGCAGACAGGGAGGAGGAUGCGUGGGUGGUAGGGGGAGCAGCAGCGCCCCUACCUGCACAGAAGCUUGUCCAACCUCUGCACAAAGCGGACUCCCAGUGGUUGUUUUUGGAAGAUGCCAUUCGGUGAGGGAGCUCAAGCUGGAUGCAUGGGGUGACCACAGGGAGAGCAUCUGACAGCCCAGCUGGGUGCCUGGCUGAUAGCCCACACCAAGUACCAGGCAGGUAAGUGAGACCACUGGGCACCAUCCAGCCCGCCUGGCCGCCUUCCGACUGUAGCUGCACGAGUGAGCCAGCUGCUGGCUCAUCCAGUGGACAGGUCAUCUGAGUCCUGAUCCACAGAAGCCUGAACAAUACACCUUAUGGUAAGCUUUAAGGUGGGGUGGUUUGUAGCACAGAAAUGGAUCUUUGAAGCAGGUGUGAUUCUCCAUGCAAGGCUCUGGCAAUUGCCCCAACCUUUAUGCAGUCUCCAGUGACGAAUUUCUUUACCCAUUUAUUUUGAAACGUGUAUUUUGGCCGCAGCACCCAGAAUCUGACUCCUCCACCUUGGUCGUCAUGGAAAGCUCAUCUCUGGUGGCAGUGUUAUCAUUCUGUCAAUUACUCAAGAGCCCAAUACAAACAGGUAUCACAGAGGAUGUGACUGUCCACUCUGUGUACCUCCUAGCCCACUCCUUGGGGCUAAUGAAUAAUUUGUGUAUUACCAUCCACCGUUUUCUCAUUCCUUUAUACUGUUUUUAAUCAUUCAUUUUUUUUCUUUCAACAAUUGUAAAUGGAUUCCUACCCAGGGGGCAAGGCUGGCUGCCAGCACUGCCGUCGAGGCAUGGGCAGGAAGCAGUGGACUCUGACCUCAGUGCGUUUAUGGGAAGUGGAGGCAGAUGGUCAAGAAAUGAGAAUCUACACACAGGGAAGAUAAAUCUGGUUUGUAACAAGGGCGGUGCAGGAAAUAGACAUGGAGAUGGGGCAGAAGGGAACUGUGUGGGCAGCUCGCUUUAAGAGGCCAGGGGAGGUGACUUGGGAACUGAAUCCUGAGGGAGAGAAGGGAUAGCAGUGGGAAGAGCCGAGGGAAGCUUUGUCCAGAGAGAGGGAAUGGCAGGUGCCGUGGUCUGAGGCGAGAGAGGGCUGGGUGACCUGGACUAGAACAGACACCAGCCAGACAGCAUAGAAAACAAGUAGAGGAGCUGGGCGCGGUGGCUCACACCUGUAAUCCCAGCACUUUGGGAGGCUGAGGCGGACAGAUCACCUGAGGUCGGGAGUUCGAGACCAGCCUGACCAACAUGGAGAAACCCUGUCUCUACUAAAAAUACAAAAUUAGUUGGUCAUGGUGGUGCAUUCCUAUAAUCCCAGCUACUCGGAGGCUGAGACAGGAGAAUCACUUGAACCCAGGAUGUGGAGGUUGUGGUUAGCCAAGAUUGUGCCAUUGCACUCCAGCCUGGGCAACAACAGAGAAACUCCGUCUUAAAAAAAAAAAAAAAAAAAGUAGAGGGUGACAAAGCUGGCACGGGAGGAGGGAGUCUCAUGGGUCAUUGGGAAAAAUGUAAAUUUCUUUUUUUUUUUUUUUUUUUGAGACAGAGUCUUGCUCUGUCCCCCAGGCUGGAUUGCAGUGGUGCCAUCUCGGCUCACUGCAACCUCUGCCUCCCAGCUUCAAGCGAGUCUCCUGCCUUAGCCUCCUGAGUAGCUGGGAUUACAGGCGCCUGCUACCAUGCCCAGCUAAGUUUUGUAUUUUUAAUAGAGACACAGUUUCACCAUGUUGGCCAGGCUGGUCUCCAACUCCCGACCUCAAGCGAUCCACUCGCCUCGGCCUCCCAAAAUGCUGGGAUUACAGGUGUGAGCCACCGCACUCGGCCUCGAUUUCAUUUUAAAAGACAACAACUGGGUGUACCCUCCCGCAUGUGCCCACAUGCACGUGCACAUGCAUACAUGGGUGUGUGAGCCUACAUGCAUGUGUACAUGUGCAUAUCCAUGUGUGGUUGGGGUAGGGGUUGUUUCAUGUCACCAAACAGUGACAUGACCUGGUUUUUCUUUUGAAGAGUCACUCCAGAGCUGGGCCAGGUGGCUGAUGCCAGUAAUCCUGGCACUAUGGGAGGUCAAGGAUGGAGGAUUGCUUGAGACCAGGAGUUUGAAGACCAGCCUGGGCAACAUAGCAAGACCCUGUCUCUACAAAAAAUUCCCCAGGCAUGGUGGCAUGGUCCUGUUGUCCCAGCUACUCAGGAGGCUGAGAUUGGAGGAUUGCCUGAGCUCAGGAGUUCGAGGCUGCAGUGAGAUAUGAUCACGCUGCAGCACUCCAGCCUGGGUGACAGAGACAGAGCUUAUCUCUAAAAAAAGAAAAAAACAAAGUCACUCCAGUAGCUGCAUGCAAAGGGAAUGGGAGCUGAGCUGGUGAACCGGAGACUGUCAGACAUCCCAGGCGACAGGAUACCACAACAGUCCUGUGUUCUGCCAAACAAGCAACGACCAUGCUUCUCUAGCCAGGAAAAGGAAAGAAUGGCUUUUCCUCGUAGCACGGUGGUGUCGGGAGCAACUCCCUAUUCCCAAUAUUGGGUAAGAUAGGGUUGGAUUGGGCGCGAAAAGAGCUUAGCCCAGAGGGGAGACAUGGUGCAUUUGCCAGAAAUGGUGGGUGCCACUCUAAAGGUGGGUGAGGAGAAUCUUCUCUCCAACCGUCUUCGCCCCCUGGGCACAGUGCCAUCACCUGGGAUUUGCUGCCCCCCUGCACACCUGCCCCAGGAGCAGGAGGAGACUCAAUAGAUAGCAUCAGACUAGAGACUGGGGCUGGGAACAGGGCUGGGAGCCUAGAGCAGAAGCCAGGUCCAGAGAGGGUUAAGGGGAGAGGACAGUCCCCAAGGGAACCAGAAGGAGCCCCUGGAGGGCAGGAGGCAAGUGACCAUCACCAAGGAACCCGAGGAGGAGGCUCAGGAGCAGAGGCUUCGAGAGGCUGCAGGACUGGCUGUCAGCACCGUGUUAGCCAUUAGCCAUCAUGUCCUAGUCCCUUCACGGUUCCUAGGUCAGGGUCCUCCUGCUUCUGUGACGGUCACAGCAUGUGCUCCUGUGGUCCUCCUCUGGUUGCUCUUAGGACACAGGAGGCUUACAUCACUUCAGAGUGACCGCAAGCUGCUGGGUCAGCAAUGACCUGCCCCACCCCUUCCUGAACUCAGGUCCCCUGUGCCACCCACAUCAGUGUCACAGAAUAAGGAAGUUCUCUGCUGUGUCUUCCCACAAGCAUUGGUUUUGAUUUCCCUGCUCUGACAAUAGCCCUACAGGGAUGCUGUGGAGUGACAAUGAGGAAAGCGAGCCUUGGCCACACUUCAGUCACUUUGGGCAGCAGGGACCAGGAAGGCAGGAGGCCAGGGGACAGGCAGGAGGACAGCCCUGCAGAAAUGUGUGGGAAGCUGUGCUCCUGCCCCAAGUGAGCCCCUGAGUCCCAACGGCAGACCCCCCAUCCUUGGCCAGCUGUCUCAUGCAAGAGAGUCCACAUCCUGGGGACAGUCCCACCCUGGCCACCCGGACCAAGCACAGCUCCUCGCCCUCCCAGCCUGGCCGGUGCUCGCUGAGGUGGAAACCUCAGAAGAAGGUGGGAGUGAUCCACCCUCCUCAGCACAGUGUCCCUGCCAUCUUGGUGGGCACCACUCCUCAUGGGCAGACCAGAGGAGGCCCUGUUCUCUGCCAUGAGGAUGCCACCUCCCAUUCUGUCUCCAGACCUUGGACUUCUCUAGUCAAGAGGAUAUCCCCUGGGGGCUGUCAACUCCCAAUUGAGUCUCGGGUGGUUCCGGUGUGAGCUCAUCUUGGUGUGUUGUAAACUCAGCGGCCUCAUCUGCAGCGGGUUGGGCUGGGAGCCCAUCACGGAUGGGUUUACAAACCAGAAAUGUUAGACUACAAACAACAAUUUCACAUCUGUAAACCACUUCAUCUGAUGACAAACAUGGCCUCAGGCUCAAAUGUUUACAGCAAAUUGGGGCAAAAAUACUGUCUGGAGUUAAAUUCUCAGUAGCAAAUUGUACAAGCCGGAGAGCAGGGCAGCGCCUCCAGAGAGGAAAGAAGAGAGGGUGAGCCUCUCAUGCCUCCCCUACACUGGUCCCUUUGCCCAGAAUGACUGCACGUUUUUCAUCACUUGCUUCCAACAAGUGGAGUUAGGACUGUUAUCAAACCCAGAGACACAAGCAAAGGGCAGCUUUGACAAGCCGGUCCCUCCCGCACCCGCCCCUGCGUGGGAAAUGCCAAAGUCCUCUGCUCAGGGCGGGGCUGGGGUGCGCCCCGGAGUGCUCUGGGGCACCUGGAGGAGGUUUCUUUGUGUGAAGUCUCUGUCACUGUGUGUGGGUGUGUGUGUGUAUGUGUUUUGUGCAUGUGUUGUGUGUGUAUGUGUUGUGUGUGUUGUGUGUAUGUGUGUCUUGUGUGUGUUUGUGUGUUGUGUGUGUCUAGGCCAGGGAAACAGUGAGUCGUUUCUGCCCAGGAGCAGCUGCAUGUGAGGCCCGUUCUUGGUCUUAUAUGCGGCUUCUGAGGACUUUCCAGAAAUCGUGAGGUGGGAGCCGCCGCUGUAAUCAGGCAUAUAAGUCACACAUCCCAGAGUUGGGAACCAGCGCAGAAGGCCCAGGACAGACGCCAAGCUGAAGCCACAGCCCUGACACCUGCCGCCCUAGCCCUGGGCUCCGUCUCUGCCUCUGGAGCCUCCUGUCCCCGGGACUCAGCUCCCCUCCCCUCUGUGGCUGGGCUCUGCCUCCUGGGCUGCUCCUCUCCCCAGCCCUCUCUUUGGGCCCAGCCUAGACACCUGCCCCCUCCCUGGGCUCCUUCCCCCGACUGGGCCUGUCCUGGGUCUCAGCCAUGGCCUCCCCUGGGCUCCCUCUCUAGGGGGGUGGAAUCAGGAAGGGGUGGACAGAGGGCGGCUCCCGAGGGCCCCUGACUGCACGUUUGUGGUUCCUUUCCAACAGGGAGACUGGCUGCUGGCUGUCCUCUUACUGCUGGGCCUGUCCCUUCCAAUCAGCGCCCGGGGCUCUGUCCGCUACACAAGGAAAGACAUCUACACAUUUGCUAGUGUUUGUGGAAAC